This 303-nucleotide ribosomal RNA is filed under the name Triticum aestivum (bread wheat). RNAcentral's name for it is "partial small subunit ribosomal RNA". The record is from RNAcentral. Lineage: Eukaryota; Viridiplantae; Streptophyta; Magnoliopsida; Poales; Poaceae.
GUCAGUUUCGAGUUAGUGUUCCCACCAUCCUUCUUCAACAUCAUGACGCACGUCCUAGUUCACCUAUGCGAAGAGAUUAACGUUCUUGGUCCUGUAUUUCUACACAAUAUGUUCCCCUUUGAGAGGUUCAUGGGAGUCUUAAAGAAAUAUGUUCAUAACCGUGCUAGGCCAGAAGGAAGCAUCUCCAAGGGCCAUGAAAUGAGGAGGUCAUUGAGUUUUGUAUUGACUUUAUUCCUGACCUUAAGCCGAUUAGUGUUCCUGAAUCGCGGCAUAAGGGCAGACUGGAUGGAAAAGGCACGCUAG